GACGAACGCUGGCGGCGUGCCUAAUACAUGCAAGUCGAACGAACUCUGGUAUUGAUUGGUGCUUGCAUCAUGAUUUACAUUUGAGUGAGUGGCGAACUGGUGAGUAACACGUGGGAAACCUGCCCAGAAGCGGGGGAUAACACCUGGAAACAGAUGCUAAUACCGCAUAACAACUUGGACCGCAUGGUCCGAGCUUGAAAGAUGGCUUCGGCUAUCACUUUUGGAUGGUCCCGCGGCGUAUUAGCUAGAUGGUGGGGUAACGGCUCACCAUGGCAAUGAUACGUAGCCGACCUGAGAGGGUAAUCGGCCACAUUGGGACUGAGACACGGCCCAAACUCCUACGGGAGGCAGCAGUAGGGAAUCUUCCACAAUGGACGAAAGUCUGAUGGAGCAACGCCGCGUGAGUGAAGAAGGGUUUCGGCUCGUAAAACUCUGUUGUUAAAGAAGAACAUAUCUGAGAGUAACUGUUCAGGUAUUGACGGUAUUUAACCAGAAAGCCACGGCUAACUACGUGCCAGCAGCCGCGGUAAUACGUAGGUGGCAAGCGUUGUCCGGAUUUAUUGGGCGUAAAGCGAGCGCAGGCGGUUUUUUAAGUCUGAUGUGAAAGCCUUCGGCUCAACCGAAGAAGUGCAUCGGAAACUGGGAAACUUGAGUGCAGAAGAGGACAGUGGAACUCCAUGUGUAGCGGUGAAAUGCGUAGAUAUAUGGAAGAACACCAGUGGCGAAGGCGGCUGUCUGGUCUGUAACUGACGCUGAGGCUCGAAAGUAUGGGUAGCAAACAGGAUUAGAUACCCUGGUAGUCCAUACCGUAAACGAUGAAUGCUAAGUGUUGGAGGGUUUCCGCCCUUCAGUGCUGCAGCUAACGCAUUAAGCAUUCCGCCUGGGGAGUACGGCCGCAAGGCUGAAACUCAAAGGAAUUGACGGGGGCCCGCACAAGCGGUGGAGCAUGUGGUUUAAUUCGAAGCUACGCGAAGAACCUUACCAGGUCUUGACAUACUAUGCAAAUCUAAGAGAUUAGACGUUCCCUUCGGGGACAUGGAUACAGGUGGUGCAUGGUUGUCGUCAGCUCGUGUCGUGAGAUGUUGGGUUAAGUCCCGCAACGAGCGCAACCCUUAUUAUCAGUUGCCAGCAUUAAGUUGGGCACUCUGGUGAGACUGCCGGUGACAAACCGGAGGAAGGUGGGGAUGACGUCAAAUCAUCAUGCCCCUUAUGACCUGGGCUACACACGUGCUACAAUGGAUGGUACAACGAGUUGCGAACUCGCGAGAGUAAGCUAAUCUCUUAAAGCCAUUCUCAGUUCGGAUUGUAGGCUGCAACUCGCCUACAUGAAGUCGGAAUCGCUAGUAAUCGCGGAUCAGCAUGCCUCGGUGAAUACGUUCCCGGGCCUUGUACACACCGCCCGUCACACCAUGAGAGUUUGUAACACCCAAAGUCGGUGGGGUAACCUUUUAGGAACCAGCCGCCUAAGGUGGGACAGAUGAUUAGGGUG
RNAcentral lists this ribosomal RNA (1489 nucleotides) under Lactiplantibacillus plantarum. Its description in RNAcentral is "bacterial SSU rRNA". It matches the Rfam family "Bacterial small subunit ribosomal RNA". Lineage: Bacteria; Bacillati; Bacillota; Bacilli; Lactobacillales; Lactobacillaceae. The record is from RNAcentral.